AUGGACAUCGGCUCGGUGCCUUCCCAGGACGACGACGCGGCGGCCGCCACGCCGCGGGAGGCCACGCUGGGCCGCCACCUCGCGCGGCGGCUGGCCGAUGUGGGCGCGCGCGACGUCUUCGCCGUGCCGGGGGACUUCAACCUCACGCUCCUCGACGAGCUCGAGGCCGAGCAGCCGUCCGGCGGCGGGGUGCGGCUCGUCGGGUGCUGCAACGAGCUCAACGCAGCCUACGCCGCCGACGGCUACGCCCGCGCGCGCGCCGGCGGGGUCGGCGCCUGCGUGGUCACCUUCACCGUCGGAGCGCUCAGCGCCAUCAACGCCGUCGCCGGCGCCUUCAGCGAGAACCUCCCCGUCGUGUGCAUCUCCGGGGGCCCCAACAGCAACGACUACGGCAGCAACCGGAUCCUGCACCACACCAUCGGCCUCCCCGAUUUCUCGCAGGAGCUCCGCUGCUUCCAGAACGUCACCUGCUACCAGAAGGGGGAGCGUUUUGGCUCCCGGGAGCAUUUGCUCGCUCCCGGGAACAUUUGCUUGCUCCCGGGAGCCAAAUUGGAUUUCCGGGGGAAGCCCGGAAGGCGUUUUGGCUGUGGGAGCAUUUGCUCCCGGAUGAACAACAAAUCAAAAAAAAAAGUGGCAGUGGUGAACAACUUGGAGGAUGCACAUGAACAGAUUGACACUGCCAUCUCCACUGCACUGAAGGAGAGCAAACCUGUUUACAUCAGCAUUAGCUGCGACCUCCCUUCAAUCCCUCAUCCCACCUUUAGCGGCCAUCAUAUGAGCCUGGAAGCAGCGGUGGAAGCCGCUGCGGCUUUCUUGAACAAAUCGGUCAAGCCGGUCCUUGUUGGGGGAGCGAAGAUGAGGAUGGCCAAAGCACGCAAAGCCUUCGUAGAGCUAGCCGAUGCAUGCGGUUACCCGUUCGCGGUGAUGCCUUCUGCCAAGGGGCUUGUACCAGAGCACCACCCUAGAUUCAUCGGCACAUACUGGGGUGUUGUGAGCACUCCAUUCUGUGGAGAGAUUGUGGAGUCAGCUGAUGCCUAUUUGUUUGCUGGCCCGAUAUUCAACGACCACACCUCGGUUGGAUACUCACUUCUUCUCAAUAAUGAGAAGGCCAUCAUUGUGCAGCCGGACCGAGUGGUGAUUGGGAAUGGGCCUGCAUUUGGGUGUGUUCUGAUGAAGGACUUCUUGCGUGCACUUGCUACCCGGCUCAAGAAGAACACGGCUGCGUGCGAGAUACAUAGCCGGAUUUUUGUGCCUGACGGCGAACCCCGUCCCUCUGAGCCUGGAGAGCCUUUGAGAGUGAAUGUGUUUUUCAAGCAUAUUCAGAAAAUGUUGUCUGGCAACUCGGCUGUUAUAGCAGAGACCGGGGACUCAUGGUUUAACUGCCAGAAGCUAAAACUACCAGAAGGCUGUGGGUAUGAAUGUCAGCUGCAAUAUGGAUCAAUUGGUUGGUCGGUCGGGGCUACUAUGGGAUAUGCGCAGGCUGCUAAGGAUAAGCGAGUCAUUUCUCUCAUUGGGGAUGGCAGCUUUCAGGUGGGGAACAACAUCAUCUUCCUCAUAAACAACGGGGGUUACACCAUCGAGGUGAAGAUCCAUGAUGGUCCUUACAACGUCAUCAAGAAUUGGAACUACACCGGCUUGGUGGAAGCAUUUCAUAAUGGCGAGGGAAACUCUUAUACUGCAAAGGUUCGAACGGAAGAGGAACUGGAGGAGGCAAUUGAGGCAUCCCUAGGACCUCACAAGGACAGCCUGUGCUUUAUAGAGGUAAUUGUGCACAAGGAUGACACUAGCAAGGAGCUUCUUGUGUGGGGAGCUAGGCUUUUCGCCGCAAAUAGCCGCCCGCCGAAUCCUCAGUGA
This 1854-nucleotide ribosomal RNA is filed under the name Triticum aestivum (bread wheat). Its description in RNAcentral is "partial small subunit ribosomal RNA". Lineage: Eukaryota; Viridiplantae; Streptophyta; Magnoliopsida; Poales; Poaceae. The record is from RNAcentral.